Molecule: non-coding RNA, 83 nt
Organism: Mycena vulgaris
Lineage: Eukaryota; Fungi; Basidiomycota; Agaricomycetes; Agaricales; Mycenaceae
Source: the annotation of a GenBank genome assembly
GGUCUGGUGGUGUAGUGGUUACAUGCCUGGAGUUUGUUCAUUAGGUUCAGCAGGACUCCCUUGUUCAAAUCAAGGCCAGGUCA